UUGCUCCCAUUUCUCAGCGGCGGACGGGUGAGUAACACGUGGGCAACCUGCCCUACAGACUGGGAUAACUCCGGGAAACCGGAGCUAAUACCGGGUAAUACAUAGCAUCGCAUGAUGCAACGUUGAAAGUUGGCCUUUGGCUAACACUGUAGGAUGGGCCCGCGGCGCAUUAGCUAGUUGGUAAGGUAACGGCUUACCAAGGCCACGAUGCGUAGCCGACCUGAGAGGGUGAUCGGCCACACUGGGACUGAGACACGGCCCAGACUCCUACGGGAGGCAGCAGUAGGGAAUCUUCCGCAAUGGACGAAAGUCUGACGGAGCAACGCCGCGUGAGUGACGAAGGCCUUCGGGUCGUAAAGCUCUGUUGUUAGGGAAGAACAAGUACCGUUCGAAUAGGGCGGUACCUUGACGGUACCUAACCAGAAAGCCACGGCUAACUACGUGCCAGCAGCCGCGGUAAUACGUAGGUGGCAAGCGUUGUCCGGAAUUAUUGGGCGUAAAGCGCGCGCAGGCGGUCUCUUAAGUCUGAUGUGAAAGCCCACGGCUCAACCGUGGAGGGCCAUUGGAAACUGGGGGACUUGAGUGCAGAAGAGGAGAGUGGAAUUCCACGUGUAGCGGUGAAAUGCGUAGAUAUGUGGAGGAACACCAGUGGCGAAGGCGGCUCUCUGGUCUGUAACUGACGCUGAGGCGCGAAAGCGUGGGGAGCGAACAGGAUUAGAUACCCUGGUAGUCCACGCCGUAAACGAUGAGUGCUAGGUGUUGGGGGGGUUCCACCCUCAGUGCUGAAGUUAACACAUUAAGCACUCCGCCUGGGGGAGUACGACCGCAAGGUUGAAACUCAAAGGAAUUGACGGGGGCCCGCACAAGCAGUGGAGCAUGUGGUUUAAUUCGAA
Molecule: ribosomal RNA, 893 nt
Filed under: Bacillus sp. (in: firmicutes)
Lineage: Bacteria; Bacillati; Bacillota; Bacilli; Caryophanales; Bacillaceae
Description: bacterial SSU rRNA
Rfam family: Bacterial small subunit ribosomal RNA
Source: RNAcentral